ACUUCUCAACUUCAAAAGAUUUUAUUAUCUUCUGAAGCUUGGACUAUGGAGGCCUUUGCUGGCGUCAUUGUCAGCUCCUCUCAAAUGUAUUAGCAGAACACUAUUAUCAGCAUUGGUUUGAUAAGCUCUAUCUAAAUCAUUACUGAUUAGUCUGUUCAGCUUCUAAUUGUCCUGUAUAGGACUGCUGAAAAGCAAUACACUUUAA
This 205-nucleotide unclassified non-coding RNA is filed under the name uncultured Agaricales. RNAcentral describes it as "sequence contains ITS2". The record is from RNAcentral. Lineage: Eukaryota; Fungi; Basidiomycota; Agaricomycetes; Agaricales.